AGCUAAAACAAGAUAUUUAACAAAAUUCAAAUGUGGUGCAAUAGGUGAAUUGUACGGCACUGUGCAGAGGUGAAAUGGAGUGUUACAUAGAGGGGGUCGAGUUGCGUAGUGAGAGACCGGCCAGACUGUAUAAAAGAAGACGCGCUACACAUACGAAUCAUUCUUUUUUUGUUCCAGCAGCAUAAGGUACAAGCAGCAGACAAUUGGAUGCGUUGCUUCUUUCAGCUCUACUUUAUUUUUUCAACGCAUUUAUCUUUUUUUCAGAUCUUCUUCACUUAUUUAAUUUACAAAUAUUAAAAAAAACAUGGACAACAUCUAUGAAUCCGAUGAUGAGAUUGAGAUAUACGGAAGUCAAGGAUCAACCAUAAUCAUUGACAGCGAAGAUGAUGAUGAUUUAUUCAAUGGAAUAAUAUAUAAUAAGGUCGACGUUUACAUGCCAUUGACUGAUGACUUUUUCUUCGAUUACGAUUUCGAUGGUAUUAGAGAUGAUGAUGAGAGUUAUGAAAGUGAGGAGAGUGCUGAAAGUGCGGAGAGUGGCGAGAGUGCCGAGAGCGCAAAAAAUGAAGAUGUUGAUGACGAUGUUUUAAUCAUUGACUUUAGCGAUGAAGAGAUAUCGGAACUUUUAGCAUCUGUGUCAAAUGUAAAUGAGAUUUUUGAUGACAUAGAUUGGACAACACCCACUGCACCACCACCGCCACCAUCCUCACCAACGAACUCAUCGGCUUAAUGCAUAAAAAAUUACUACUACACAAAUAUUUCUACAUAAAUAUUUGGUAGAAAUAAAAUUGUUUCAUAUAAAGGUAACCAACUUUCUCACAUGAAAAUUAAUACCUUUCAUUUAAAAAUGAUUAUAAUGUUUAAAUACUGGGUGUGGUAAACCCAAUUAUGAGUGUGCGCAUAAGUAUUUAUAAAAUUAUGCGUGCGCAUAUGAAGAGUGGGGAAAAAGAAUGAAAGAGGAUGGGGUUGUAUAGUGAUAUAUGGCGGUGUAAAGAAGAGAAGCUCAUUUCUGUUUCAGCGCUUCAAGUUAACCUACAACAUUAAGCAGCUCUUUCAAAAAUGGACCUCACCAAGGUGAAUGCAGUUGGACGAUUGGAGGGUUUCCUGCCAACCAAACCAUUAUCAGAAUUGGAUGUGAAUAGCCAAUACUUUAUCACCAAAAUAAAGAAAAUUCAGACAAAAUAUGGACCCAGGAUCAUCGUUGAACUAGAGACUAGACGCUGACUUUAUAUCUUAUCUUCCAACGAGAUUCAUUAAAUAUUUCGAAGAAGAAGCUGAAACUUUCAAAAUGAUGCAGGAAGCUGCCUCUUUAAAGCAGCUACAAUUGAAAUACCAAGGAGGAACCUACAA
Leptopilina heterotoma is the source of this 1347-nucleotide RNA transcript. RefSeq lists it as uncharacterized. The transcript is spliced from 3 exons. The record is from RefSeq and is a predicted model, not a curated record. NCBI's taxonomy places the organism in Eukaryota, Metazoa, Arthropoda, Insecta, Hymenoptera, Figitidae.